This 536-nucleotide ribosomal RNA is filed under the name Eurotium sp. IR1M. RNAcentral's name for it is "eukaryotic LSU rRNA". The stretch from base 176 to 329 matches the Rfam family "5.8S ribosomal RNA". The record is from RNAcentral. Lineage: Eukaryota; Fungi; Ascomycota; Eurotiomycetes; Eurotiales; Aspergillaceae.
UUUCCGUAGGUGAACCUGCGGAAGGAUCAUUACCGAGUGCGGGCCCUCUGGGUCCAACCUCCCAUCCGUGUCUAUCUGUACCCUGUUGCUUCGGCGUGGCCACGGCCCGCCGGAGACUAACAUUUGAACGCUGUCUGAAGUUUGCAGUCUGAGUUUUUAGUUAAACAAUCGUUAAAACUUUCAACAACGGAUCUCUUGGUUCCGGCAUCGAUGAAGAACGCAGCGAAAUGCGAUAAUUAAUGUGAAUUGCAGAAUUCAGUGAAUCAUCGAGUCUUUGAACGCACAUUGCGCCCCCUGGUAUUCCGGGGGGCAUGCCUGUCCGAGCGUCAUUGCUGCCCUCAAGCACGGCUUGUGUGUUGGGCUUCCGUCCCUGGCAACGGGGACGGGCCCAAAAGGCAGUGGCGGCACCAUGUCUGGUCCUCGAGCGUAUGGGGCUUUGUCACCCGCUCCCGUAGGUCCAGCUGGCAGCUAGCCUCGCAACCAAUCUUUUUAACCAGGUUGACCUCGGAUCAGGUAGGGAUACCCGCUGAACUUAA